Molecule: long non-coding RNA, 1199 nt
Filed under: Castor canadensis (American beaver)
Lineage: Eukaryota; Metazoa; Chordata; Mammalia; Rodentia; Castoridae
Description: lncRNA (ENSCCNG00000009424.1)
Source: RNAcentral
GCCUGUGUCUGUCCGUUGCAUAGCGUUCUGCUCCCUCUCCACAUACCUGGGGAAAAGCCCUGCAGAGGAAGAGCUGCCUCUCGCAGUGGCCCCGGUACAGAGCUGGAAGUUGGACUGAUUUCCUUUUCUUCCUUCCUUCCUUCCUUCCUUCCUUCCUUCCUUCCUUCCUUCUUUUUCCUUCCUUCCUUCCUUUCUACUGGGGCUUGAACUCAGGGCCUAUACCUUGAGGCACUCCAUCAGCCCUUUUUUGUGAUGGAUUUUUGUUUUUGAAAUAGGGUCUGGAGAACUAUUUGUCCAGGCUGGCUUCGAACCCCAAUCCUCCUGAUCUCUGCCUCCUGAUUAGCUAGGAUUAUAGGUGUGAGCCACUGGCACCCAGCAAUUUUAACCCUGUUUCUAAUUCUUACUGGCCAGAGGGGCUGUAGGACGUCAGGGACACCUGAAGCAGAUUUUGAGGGGACUAAGGAGGCGCUUGCAAGGCCUGGGACACCUCACUUGCGUUGCGAGGGGUGCAGAUGGAGUAGUCAAAGCUGGUGUGGGGAGGAGCAGCCACCUGGCAAAACUCAGAGAUGAGAAAAUGGGGAAAUGAGAGAAGACUGUGGUGGCUGGGGAGACAGACUCAGGACAGCCCACUGGGCCGAGCAGGGUUUUAGGGUCAGGGUAUUCGAAUGUCCUUGAGAAGGAGUGAGAAUUUCUGAUUGCUGUAGGCGACAGUCACACAGUGUGCUGCUGUGCACAGCUGGACACGGGGAUGAGGAUGUGCCAAGACCAGCAAGAGCAGCUGCGGUUGCCCAAGGGGACAGGUGAUGAGGUUGGACUAACACAGCAGCCUUGGAGGAGGUAAGAGGCAGAUGGAUCUGAGGGACAUUGAGGAUGAGACUCCCAGGCCGUGGUGACCCAGAGGUUUGGAGGAAUAGAGAACAGAACUGAAGGGACCCUGUUAAUGGCUUUUGACUUUGGCCAAUGGGCAGAGGGUGGGGCCUUCCAUAAGAGGGGAGACUGAGGCAGAGGGCAGUUUCAGGGGAAGGUGCUGUUUCCUUUGGGGAUAUUGCUUUUCAGAGUGCCUGGAAGCGAUCAGGAGGAAACAUCUGAUACAGACACAAGGUCAGAGGCUGGGACAGAGUGGAUAUGACUGGGCCCAUGGCGUCACAGAAAAUGGAUCCCCAGGGGGAAACCACUGCAGUCCCUUUCCAGAGAGGACA